UCACUUUUCUUUUUUUAAUCAUUAGCCUUAUGCAGCUCUCAAAGCUAGAGAAUAUCUUGAUAAGCCUGCAAUACAUGAGACAAUGGUGAAGGUUAGCGCUUAUCUGCUUGGAGAAUACAGCCAUCUUUUGGCCAGACGACCUGGGUGUAGCCCAAAGGACAUUUUUGUCAUUAUACAUGAGAAGCUUCCUACUGUAUCGACUCCAACAAUAUCCAUUCUUCUCUCAACAUACGCAAAGAUUUUGAUGCACUCUCAACCACCAGAUCCCGAAUUACAAA
This is a long non-coding RNA of Lactuca sativa (garden lettuce), 278 nucleotides long. RefSeq lists it as uncharacterized. NCBI's taxonomy places the organism in Eukaryota, Viridiplantae, Streptophyta, Magnoliopsida, Asterales, Asteraceae. The record is from RefSeq and is a predicted model, not a curated record.